This 301-nucleotide long non-coding RNA is filed under the name Homo sapiens (human). RNAcentral describes it as "HSALNT0168636". The record is from RNAcentral. Lineage: Eukaryota; Metazoa; Chordata; Mammalia; Primates; Hominidae.
CCACUGCACACGUGAGCCUGAGGGUAGCUGUGUUCCAGCUUUGCACAGAAAGCAGGUUUGGGAGAAUGAAGCCAGAGGCCAAGGAGAGAAUGCGGAAUCCUGGAGUGUUGAAGGCCCUUGUUUUGAUUCCUCGCGUCCUCCAGUCCAUCCUCAUUUUCUGGAGAGGCAGCGUGACCUAACGACGAAAGCCUCCACAACUGGUUUCUGUCGGUGUGAGUCCCAAAUCUGCCACUGGCUGGCUGGGAAACCUUGGCACCAGAGUGAGGAGAGGCUAGGAGGAAGAGGAGACUUUGAGAAGCUG